GACAGAGGUCUCAAGCGUUGUUCGGAUUCAUUGGGCGUAAAGGGUGCGUAGGCGGCGCGGUAAGUCGGGUGUGAAAUCUCGGAGCUUAACUCCGAAACUGCAUUCGAUACUGCCGUGCUUGAGGACUGGAGAGGAGACUGGAAUUUACGGUGUAGCGGUGAAAUGCGUAGAUAUCGUAAGGAAGACCAGUGGCGAAGGCGGUUCUCUGGGCAUGAUCUGACGCUGAGGAGCGAAAGUGUGGGGAGCGAACAGG
Molecule: ribosomal RNA, 253 nt
Filed under: uncultured bacterium
Lineage: Bacteria
Description: partial 16S ribosomal RNA
Rfam family: Bacterial small subunit ribosomal RNA
Source: RNAcentral